AUGAGUUUCUACAGCCUCCACGAGACUCUCCACCAUGAGAUCGCCAAAGUCCAGUCUCAUUUCUACUGGGCAGGCGACAAUGAUAAGCAGAAGUAUCAUAUGGUCAGUUGGCCUGACAUUUGCAAGCCCAGGGAACAAGGAGGCCUUGGCAUUAUGUGCUCUAAGCGCAUGAAUAUCACCCUCCUAUCCCGUUGGCUUUGGCGCAUUUCCCAAGGUCACGGUGGCCUCUGGCUUGGCAUCGUCCCGAACAAAUACCUGCGCGGGCAACCCCUCGCCUUCUGCCAGAGAUCUGGUGGCUCUCAGUUCUAG
This 309-nucleotide ribosomal RNA is filed under the name Triticum aestivum (bread wheat). RNAcentral's name for it is "partial small subunit ribosomal RNA". The record is from RNAcentral. Lineage: Eukaryota; Viridiplantae; Streptophyta; Magnoliopsida; Poales; Poaceae.